This 266-nucleotide ribosomal RNA is filed under the name uncultured bacterium. RNAcentral's name for it is "partial 16S ribosomal RNA". The record is from RNAcentral.
CUGCUGCCUUCCGUAGGAGUUUGGGCCGUGUCUCAGUCCCAAUGUGGCCGAUCAACCUCUCAGUUCGGCUACGCAUCAUUGCCUUGGUAAGCCUUUACCCCACCAACUAGCUAAUGCGUCGCGGGCCCAUCCAAAAGCGGUAGCAUAGCCACCUUUUACAUAGUUACCAUGCGGUAACUACGGUUAUGCGGUAUUAGCACCUGUUUCCAAGUGUUAUCCCCCUCUUUUGGGCAGGUUGCCCACGUGUUACUCACCCGUUCGCCACU